Molecule: non-coding RNA, 113 nt
Organism: Acanthosepion pharaonis
Lineage: Eukaryota; Metazoa; Mollusca; Cephalopoda; Sepiida; Sepiidae
Source: the annotation of a GenBank genome assembly
UACGGCCACGUCACAUUGAAACAUUGAUUCCCGUCCGAUCACCGAAGUUAAGCAACGUUGAGCCUGGUCAGUACCUAAAUGGAUGACCGCUUGAGAAUACCAGAGUGCUGUAA